GCGUUAUCCGGAUUCACUGGGUUUAAAGGGUGCGUAGGCGGGCAGGUAAGUCCGUGGUGAAAUCUCUGAGCUUAACUCAGAAACUGCCAUGGAUACUAUUUGUCUUGAAUAUUGUGGAGGUAAGCGGAAUAUGUCAUGUAGCGGUGAAAUGCUUAGAUAUGACAUAGAACACCAAUUGCGAAGGCAGCUUACUACACAGUUAUUGACGCUGAGGCACGAAAGCGUG
This 226-nucleotide ribosomal RNA is filed under the name uncultured bacterium. RNAcentral's name for it is "partial 16S ribosomal RNA". It matches the Rfam family "Bacterial small subunit ribosomal RNA", at positions 538 to 763 of the family's 1533-position model. The record is from RNAcentral.